UCCCUGGCAGUCCAGGGGUGAGGACUCAGUGCUUUCACUGCUGUGACCUCGGUUCAAUUCCUGGUCAAGGAA
This is a transfer RNA of Ovis aries (sheep), 72 nucleotides long. It matches the Rfam family "tRNA". From Rfam's summary of the family: Transfer RNA (tRNA) molecules are approximately 80 nucleotides in length. Their secondary structure includes four short double-helical elements and three loops (D, anti-codon, and T loops). The record is from Rfam. NCBI's taxonomy places the organism in Eukaryota, Metazoa, Chordata, Mammalia, Artiodactyla, Bovidae.